UUGUUCCGCCAGGAGCACCGCUGAGUAGCUACGUUUGGAAAGGAUAAGCACUGAAAGCAUAUAAGUGCGAAACCUGCCUCAAGAUGAGACAUCUUUUAAGGGUCGUUGGAGAUGACAACGUUGAUAGGCUAUAGGUGUAAAGGCAGCAAUGUCAUAGCCGAGUAGUACUAAUUACCCGUAGAUUUAUUGCCU
This 192-nucleotide ribosomal RNA is filed under the name Kaistella solincola. RNAcentral's name for it is "Chryseobacterium solincola partial 23S ribosomal RNA". It matches the Rfam family "Bacterial large subunit ribosomal RNA", at positions 2721 to 2925 of the family's 2925-position model. Lineage: Bacteria; Pseudomonadati; Bacteroidota; Flavobacteriia; Flavobacteriales; Weeksellaceae. The record is from RNAcentral.